AAAAUACUCUUCCGUCUUUGACUCCCAUGUCAGCACCCUGAAACAGACACCUCUCUCAUCCUCUCACUGUCACUGGCUGAGCUGUCCAAACAACUGAAGGGCGGAACACUAACUCCAGAAGCUGUGUUCCACUCAUACAUGGAAAAGCUGAUUUUCAAGAUCUUGCACACUAAUGAGAUGCUAUUGAGCCCACACUACUACACUGUCUGAGCCAAGGACUACAUGCUUUCUGGAAAUCACACACAGAAUGAGCAGUAUGGCCGGCGGCAUUGUCAUGCUGGAGGGUCAUGUCAGGAUGAGCCUGCAGGAAGGGUACCACAUGAGGGAGGAGUAUGUCUUCCCUGUAACGCACAGCGUUGAGAUUGCCUGCAAUGACAACAAGCUCAGUCCGAUGAUGCUUUGACACACCGCCCGAGACCAUGACGGACCCUCCACCUCGAUCCAGAGUACAGGCCUCAGUGUAACACUCAUUCCUUCGACGAUAAACGCAAAUCCGACCAUCACCCCUGGUGAGAGAAAACCGCGACUCGUCAGUGAAGAGCACUUUUUGCCAGUCCUGUCUGGUCCAACGACAGUGGGUUUGUGCCCAUAGGCAAUGUUGUUGCAGGUGAUGUCUGGUGAGGACCUGCCUUACAACAGGCCUACAAAUCCUCAGUCCAGCCUCUCUCAGCCUAUUGUGGACAGUCUGAGCACUGAUGGAGGGAUUGUGUGUUCCUGGUGUAACUCGGGCAGUUGUUGUUGCCAUCCUGUACCUGUCCCGCAGGUGUGAUGUUCAGAUGUACCGAUCCUGUGCAGGUGUUGUUACAUAUGGUCUGCCACUGCGAGGAUGAACAGCUGUCCGUCCUGUCUCCCUGAAGCGCUGUCUUAGGCGUCUCACAGUCAGGUAGGAUCACGCGUCUCCUUCCUGAGCGGUAUGAUGGCUGCGUGGUCCCAUGGUGGUUAUACUAGCAUACUAUUGUUUGUACAGAUGAACGUAGUACCUUCAGGCGUUUGGAAAUUGCUCCCAAGGAUGAACCAGACUUGUGGACGUCUACAAUUUUUUUCUGAGGUCUUGGCUGAUUUCUUUUGAUUUCCCCAUGAUGUCAAGCAAAGAAGCACUGAGUUUGAAGGUAGGCCUUGAAAUACAUCCACAGGUACACCUGCCAUUGACUCAAAUUAUCACAAUUACCAUAUCAGAAGCUUCUAAAGCCAUGACAUAAUUUUCUGGAAUUUUCCAAGCUGGUUAAAUGCACAGUCAAUUUAGUGUAUGUAAACGUCUGACCCACUGGAAUUGUUAUACAGUGAAUUAUAAGUGAAAUAAUCUGUCUGUAAACAAUUGUUGGAAAAAUGACUUGUGUCAUGCACAAAGUAGAUGUCCUAACCAACUUGCCAAAACUAUAGUUUGUUAACAAGAAAUUUGUGGAGUGGUUGAAAAAUGAGUUGUAAUGACUCCAACCUAAGUGUAUGUAAACUUCCGACUUCAACUGUAUAUAUAUAUAGUAUGUAUAUGUGUAUAAAUUAAACUGUAUAAUAAAUAAAUGUGACUGGUCAAUAUUUUGGAUGAAAUCAAAUCAAAUUGUAUUUGUCACAUGCUCCGAAUACAACAGGUGCAGACCUGAUCAACUCUAUGCGAAG
Molecule: long non-coding RNA, 1614 nt
Filed under: Salmo salar (Atlantic salmon)
Lineage: Eukaryota; Metazoa; Chordata; Actinopteri; Salmoniformes; Salmonidae
Description: lncRNA (ENSSSAG00000090167.1)
Source: RNAcentral